UUCUUCCUUCCUUCCUUCCAUUCUCCCUUCCUUCCAUCCUUCCUUCCUUUCUUCCUUCCUUCAUUCUUGCUACCCCUUCUCCUUUCAUCCCUUCCUUCCUUCUUCCCUCCUCUCCCCUUCUUCCUCUCCUUCCCUCUUUUCCACCUCUAUAACCACCUCCUACUCUUUCCCCCUCCUUUUCUUUUAUUCUUAGUACCCUCUUCUCUCUCCCUCUCCCAUUCCUCCCUUCCCUCAUUCUUCCAUCUUCCUUAUCUCUUGUGGCCAUCACUGCCAUACCUUGAUUUGCUUUCCUUAUUUUCCAACUCAGGUUUUAACCGUUCCGAUCAACUGCAGUCUGCAUCAACACAUCAGUGUCAAACGGGAUUCGGAAGACAUCCCUGCAGCCUGAGGUCCAGGGAACAACCGUGACUUGCUUUUCACAGCCAGAGUUCAUGUCCACACUCGGCAUUCAGGAGCUCUGCUUGUCUUUACAGCUAUAAGAAGCAAUGAGUUAAGAAGCUGAAGAAACAGAGAGCCUGCAGUCAGUGGAUCAUCAUGUGUGGAUCUCGGGGGCCUGCACUGCAUAAGUGCUCAAGGCCAAACUUAGAAAGCGAUGAUGCUUCCAGGAGACUGCAGGGGGAACUGCAGAGAAGGUUGGGAGUAACAAGCAUGGCUCCUCUGACCUUUGACCCUUGGCUACAGACGUCUAUUACAAAGACAGUAAGAGGAUCUGCAUCCUACUAUUCACAUGAGUAAUAUUUACCAGUGGUCAUCCUGACAGCUCCUCCUUGUGAGGAAUUCAUAGUAGCAUCUGUCUCGCUGUAAAAUCAUCCAUUCAUUGCUGGGAUCAACCACCCACGUGCCAUACAGAGCAAGCCACAUACUAAGAGCUGGAACACAGAUAAGCCCCGUCUUUCCCUGUAGGAGCUCCAAGCUCUGCACAGCUCUCCUUGGUCUGGGGAACACUGGAAUAAGAGAAGCAAGACAGUCUGUGGGGUCUGCUGUGGGCAACUCACUCCACAAGCAGGCUUCCCCUAAAGCCGAUCCUUUGUAAAAAGCUGUGGUGACCAGCUCCACCUCCUAAGAGUCUUGUAAGAGCUCUAGGCACCAGGUGGUGGCUGACUCCAGGUGACUCCAGCCGCCCUCAUAUCAAACACAAAGGCCAACACUGUACCACAGUCCAGCAUCAUGCAUUCUAGACUUUUUCUCACUUGCUAACAAUAAAUGACAAUUAUCCUUUAGUGAAGCAGGAAGCUGAUGCUCAAAUUUUAUGAGGCAAAGGCAGUACUUGUCCCCUGGUCUGACCUCUUGGGAUACACUACCCUUCUGCCUUCAGCUACCCAUCCUGCCCUGUGUCUAGAAGCCCCUUCUUCCUGCAAUAGUGACAUCAGUGUUCCCUGAAGGUUGUUCCCUCACUCAGGCACUGCAUGGAGUUGUUAGAAAGUAAUCCAGGAUGUGCUGCAUGCAGGGGAGUCACCUGCUGAUCUGUUUCCACUAAAAAUCCGUGCUUCAAACUCUUAUCCUUAAUAAAGUGGCCUUUGAAAAU
Rattus norvegicus (Norway rat) is the source of this 1525-nucleotide non-coding RNA. The record is from RefSeq and is a predicted model, not a curated record. NCBI's taxonomy places the organism in Eukaryota, Metazoa, Chordata, Mammalia, Rodentia, Muridae.